RNAcentral lists this ribosomal RNA (253 nucleotides) under uncultured bacterium. Its description in RNAcentral is "partial 16S ribosomal RNA". It matches the Rfam family "Bacterial small subunit ribosomal RNA", at positions 524 to 776 of the family's 1533-position model. The record is from RNAcentral.
UACGGGGGGGGCAAGCGUUAUUCGGAAUUACUGGGCGUAAAGGGCUCGUAGGUGGCCAACUCAGUCGGACGUGAAAUCCCUCGGCUUAACCGGGGAACUGCGUCCGAUACUGGAUGGCUUGAGUGCAGGAGAGGAACGCGGAAUUCCAGGUGUAGCGGUGAAAUGCGUAGAUAUCUGGAGGAACACCGGUGGCGAAGGCGGCGUUCUGGACUGUAUCUGACACUGAGGAACGAAAGCCAGGGGAGCAAACGGG